RNAcentral lists this ribosomal RNA (253 nucleotides) under uncultured bacterium. Its description in RNAcentral is "partial 16S ribosomal RNA". It matches the Rfam family "Bacterial small subunit ribosomal RNA", at positions 524 to 776 of the family's 1533-position model. The record is from RNAcentral.
UACGUAGGGGGCUAGCGUUGUCCGGAAUCAUUGGGCGUAAAGCGCGUGUAGGCGGUCCGGUAAGUCCGCUGUGAAAGUCGGGGGCUCAACCCUCGGAUGCCGGUGGAUACUGUCGGGCUUGAGUACGGAAGAGGCGAGUGGAAUUCCUGGUGUAGCGGUGAAAUGCGCAGAUAUCAGGAGGAACACCAAUUGCGAAGGCAGCUCGCUGGGACGUUACUGACGCUGAGACGCGAAAGUGUGGGGAGCGAACAGG